UACGAAGGGGGCUAGCGUUGUUCGGAAUGACUGGGCGUAAAGGGCGCGUAGGCGGAUGGCACAGUCAGAUGUGAAAUUCCUGGGCUUAACCUGGGGGCUGCAUUUGAGACGUGUGAUCUGGAGUGAGGAAGAGGGUUGUGGAAUUCCCAGUGUAGAGGUGAAAUUCGUAGAUAUUGGGAAGAACACCGGUGGCGAAGGCGGCGACCUGGUCCUUAACUGACGCUGAGGCGCGAAAGCGUGGGGAGCAAACAGG
Molecule: ribosomal RNA, 253 nt
Filed under: uncultured bacterium
Lineage: Bacteria
Description: partial 16S ribosomal RNA
Rfam family: Bacterial small subunit ribosomal RNA
Source: RNAcentral